Molecule: RNA transcript, 3844 nt
Organism: Musa acuminata AAA Group (dessert banana)
Lineage: Eukaryota; Viridiplantae; Streptophyta; Magnoliopsida; Zingiberales; Musaceae
Gene name: probable magnesium transporter NIPA3
Exons: 4
Source: RefSeq, a predicted model, not a curated record
CAUGAUUUUUACCCUUGGGUUUUUCAUAUAUAUCUUGGUAUUCUAUUUGAUUAUAAUUAUAUUUAAUUUCACUAUCUAUUAUCGUCUGUUACUAUUUGUUCAUUAUUUUUAUUUAUAUCCUAUCAAAUCCUUCAUUUUUUUUUUUUUUUUUUUGUUGUCUGUGUGUUCUCCCUCGCUCUCCCGUUCUAUUUGCCUAACCUUUUGCGCUUCGCAUCUCUCCAUCCAUUUCUUUUUUUGUGCCUUCACAUCGAGGACUUCGAAGUCCGAGUGACGCCCGCGGGCUAGUAGAUGAGCUGCCUGAUGUCGCCCGAACGAUGGAUCAGGAUUCGACCAACGGCGGGCCACCGCCCGCUGCGGGCUCCCCCCACCUCUUCGCCGACAACCUCAAUGGCUUCCUCCUCGCCGUCGCCUUCAUCGGCGCCGGCUUCAUCGUCAAGAAGCAGGGCCUCAGGCGCACCGGUGCGUCCGGCCCUCGCGCCGGCGUAGGUGGGUACGGAUAUCUGUUGAAGCCUCUCAGGAGGAUCGGAAUGGUCACAAUGAUCUUUGGUGAAAUUGCCAACUUUAUGGCCUACAUAUUUGCCCCAGCUGUUCUGGUAACUCCGUUGGGUGCUUUGUGUCUCAUUGUGAGGUGGGAUGUGCGAAAUUUAAAAGCUUGCAGUGGUCACAGAUUUAAAAGCUUGCAUUGUACUGGUCCGAUUGAGGAUUGGUACGUGGAUCACCCUCUACUAGACUAUACUAUAACCUGCCCCUGCAUCAGGCAAUAUGGGGUUUCGAUUGUAAACGAUCAGUAACGGUCGGACUUCGACUGUAAAUGGUUGAGAUUGCCCUAUUUCAAAUGGUCAAAUUGAUCAUUUGAAUCAUAGGAAAAGGUUUUUAAACUUUUUCCUCCUCCCUCUUUCAAUUCAUAUCACUCUCUCAAUCUCGUCAACUCUCUUAAACUUAUUUUCACUCAAAUCAUUUCUUUGUAGAUAAUUCAAUAUUAACGGAAGGAUGGUUCAAAACGUAUCACAAAAUUACUUCUCAAAGCCUAAAAAAGAUGUGUCACUAUUCUUUCCUAAUUUAGAUUAUUUUCGUUAAAAUUAUAUAAUUUAUAUUUAUUUUCAAUUUAAAAAUCGUAAUAUAAUUUUUUUAUUUUUCAGGUUUUUUUGGAGUUAUUUUUUAUGUUGUUUUAGCAUAUCAUCGGCACACCGUAGCAUACCAUUGGUAUGUCUUGGUACAUACUGCACCAACCAUAAUUGCAAACCUUGAGUGUACUUGGGCAUAUGCUCAACAAUUGGAUCUUUAACGGUAAUGGUGUUGUGCUGGUGCUGAUGUUGUUUUUCUUGAUCUUUGCUCUUGUUGUCUCUUAUAGUUGUAAGUUAUGCAGGUGAUGAGUAUUAAGGCCAUAGGAAUUGCAAUUAAGCUCAUAUUGGAGGGAAUCGACCAUGCUGGUUACUUCCAGACAUGGGUAUUUGCAAUGGUUGCCAUCUCCUGCAUCAUAGUUCAGUUAAAUUACUUGAACAAGGUUAGAGCCUGAAGCAAUGCUUGUAUCAGAGUUCAAAGAAUGCACCAUUUUUUUUUCUUUUAAUCCAUGAUUCCCCUUCGUGAUUGCCUAUACGUAUGAAGUUUCAACUCUAAGAUAUAAGAUAAGACCACCAUGCUGACUUUUCUUUAUGCAAGUCUCCAUUUUACUCUUCUUCUGUUUCCCAGAUUUCUUUACUUUAAUUUUUCAGCAUUGAUAAUAUUUAGCUUUCUUGUUAGAUUAAUUUUUAGAAGGCAGCUUAUUUUCCUUGAACUAGAGAGUGCUUUCUAAUACAGGAAGGACUUUCUCUAUAAAUAAGAUGGCCAUAAGUUUUAGAUGGAGGAUAAAUUGGACAAUUGAUGAUGCUGUAUGUAAUAUUUUGAGAAAUGGGCAAUAAAGAAGGGCCAGGUUGGAACAUUCUGGAACCUGCAUUGACCAGUUAUUUCAGCUUCUGGUUGGAUGAAACUCGGGGCAAGUCAAAAGUCAAUUAGUUCUACUUUUGAAAUUACAGAAUAUUACUGUCAAAGAAAGCCAAAUGACUUCCUGUUUGUUAUGGUUUUCAUGGUUAGUUUGAUUUUUGGAAAUGGAUUAUUUGUUGAUUGCACAUCAGAGAUUCGAAAUUUCAUAUCGUAUCGGUGUAUCGAGCUUUACUCGGUAUAUAUAUAUAUAUAUAUUAAAAAAAUAAAAAUAUAUAUUUUUAUAUAAAAAUAUAAAAAUCAAUAUAUAAAAAUAUUAAAAAAAAAUUAAAAAAAUAUAUUUUAAAUAAAGGCGUAUGCAGCCUUGGCGACAUCACCUUCUCCUCUUCUCCUCGUCGCCUUGUCUGCGGCAUUCAGCGAAGAAGACGGCGAAGAUGUCGAAGGUCGCAGACGUCUCUGACCUUCGGCGAAAAACACGGCAAAGGCCGCAAACGUCUCCGGCCUUCGGCAAAGAAGAAGAUUGUAGAGUCGCAAACGAGGCUAUGAAGUAGACCGCCCCUUUCGUUGCUCUAGCCGCGGCCUCCCCGAAUCCUCGCGCCUCCAGAUCCUCCUCUUUACAACUCUCCUCGUCGUUACCUCCUGGAUCGGGAUCGUCGAGGGAGAGGCAGCAUCAGAUCGGGAUCGUCGAGAGAGAGGCAGCAUCAGAUCAGGAUCGAGAAAGGGCAUGGAAACAAGUUUGCAUUGAGGUUCUCCCGAUUCUCCCUCUUCUUUGAAUGCCCUCUCCUUCUUCUUCCUUCUUCGACAUUUCUCCCUCAACCUCGCCGUAGCUAGGCCGCUAUAUUGAGCGGAUCGCCUGGUAGCGGGUGGUCCGCAUACCGGUUCACGAGCGGUACAAUUCGAAAUUGCAAACCUUGCAUCAGAUAUUGUCUUUUGAUCUUGUCUUUCAAGUAUAUGUUUGUCAGUUUGCUAUCCAGCUUUGACUUUAUAUUUAUAUGUAAUUAUCUAGUUAAAGAUUUCUUUCUUAGCUGAUUUGACUCUUCAAAAUUUGGUUUAGGAUUAACAAUGUUAAUUAUUUGUCUUUUUUGUUGUUCUUUCUCGUUUCCUGGCAUUAGAUACUUUCAAUACUGCAAUUGUUUCUCCUGUCUACUAUGCCAUGUUCAGAAUUCUUACUAUAUUCACAGGUGCCAUCAUGUUCAAGGUACCGAAUCUUUAUUAUGGUCAUAAUAUUUCUACAUUUUCUUUGUCUAGUGCUUACUUCUUUGCAUGCAUGGAGGAUUGGUCUGGGCAGAGUGCAAGUGAUAUUGCAUCAGAGAUUUGUGGGCUUAUUACAGUAAUAUCUGGGACUACAUUGUUGCAUUCUACCAGUGAGGCAGAUCCACCUACUUCAGGUAUAUUGAAGUAGUCUUGAGAUGACAAUUGAUGGAUGAGCACAUGGUCUGAAAAUUCAUGAUUUAUAUGCACAGCUCUCUCCCAAGAUGUUUUGGCACAUCCAAGGGAAUGGUGAGAUGGGAAAGCUCAAGGACAAUGAUAUGUUGUCCGGGGAGUUUGUUGCAGUCCUUCGACAGUCCAAGGAUUAUGUCAUGUUAGUCUAUCGGCUCACGCGCCGCAUGAUGGAUCCUGAGUUUUCGCCUAAUCAUGCGAUGCAGGUGUAUGUCGGACUCAACUUCAUGAUUGAUGGUUGAAGAUGGAGAACCACAAGUUUUGUACUAGGCAGCAGCUUAGGAUUGCUGAUGGUGGCUUCCAUUUCAUGUAGUCUGGAUGCGGAUAAGUUCAGCUAUGUAUGUUAUACAUAAUUUUUCAUUUAGUUGUUAAUAGCUGAGUUAUAAAUGUUACUUGGUUCAUGUAUAAUCUCAGAAGAAUGGUAAUAAUAGAUUCUUGGUGUAAUAUACUGUACAUCUUUCAAGGAAUUUCUUACAAUUCCGAUAAA